RNAcentral lists this ribosomal RNA (468 nucleotides) under uncultured bacterium. RNAcentral describes it as "partial 16S ribosomal RNA". It matches the Rfam family "Bacterial small subunit ribosomal RNA", at positions 28 to 507 of the family's 1533-position model. The record is from RNAcentral.
GACGAACGCUGGCGGCGUGCUUAACACAUGCAAGUCGAACGGAAAGGCCCUGCUUUUGUGGGGUGCUCGAGUGGCGAACGGGUGAGUAACACGUGAGUAACCUGCCCUUGACUUUGGGAUAACUUCAGGAAACUGGGGCUAAUACCAGAUAGGAGCUCCUGCUGCAUGGUGGGGGUUGGAAAGUUUCGGCGGUUGGGGAUGGACUCGCGGCUUAUCAGCUUGUUGGUGGGGUAGUGGCUUACCAAGGCUUUGACGGGUAGCCGGCCUGAGAGGGUGACCGGCCACAUUGGGACUGAGAUACGGCCCAGACUCCUACGGGAGGCAGCAGUGGGGAAUAUUGCACAAUGGGCGGAAGCCUGAUGCAGCAACGCCGCGUGCGGGAUGACGGCCUUCGGGUUGUAAACUGCUUUCGCCUGUGACGAAGCGUGAGUGACGGUAAUGGGUAAAGAAGCACCGGCUAACUACGUG